UGUAAAAGUUACCAUUUCAAAUUUUGUGUGUGAUGCGCCUGCAAGGGCUUUUGUGAAAAGUGUGAAGAACCACAAUGGCUAUAGUGGAUGUGAGAAAUGUGUACAAAAUGGGGUUUGGGAAAGUAAUCGAAUGACUUUUCCUGAAGUAGGUGCUGCCCCCAGAACUGAUGUCAUGUUUGAUGAGAUGGUUGAUGAAGACCACCAUAUGGGAGAUUGUUCAUUGAGGAAAUUGAAAAUUGGAAUGGUAUCACAGUUCCCCCUAGAUUUUAUGCAUUUAGUUUGCUUAGGGGUAAUGAGAAGGCUGUUGCUGUUGUGGAUAAAAGGGCCCCUCCCCACUAGAACUGGAGGUCAGCACGUAAAACUCAUCAGUGAAUCCAUAGUCAAUUUCGUUUCUUUCUUGCCACGAGAGUUUGCCAGAAAAGGACGAUCUCUUGCUGAAAUUGAUAGAUGGAAAGCAACAGAGUUUCGGACUUUCCUUCUAUACACUGGUCCAGUAGCACUCAAAGGAAAAAUACCUGAUGCUCUGUAUUACCAUUUUCUUAUGCUUCAUGUCGGUAUCACAAUAUUAUGCAGUCCGUUAUUGUGCACACAAUACUGUGAUUAUGCAGAAGAGUUACUAGUUUUAUUUGUUCAACAGUUCGCAUCUGUUUAUGGCAAUAUAGUUGUAUAUAAUAUUCAUGGACUAGUUCAUUUGGCUAAUGAUGUUAGGAAAUUUGGUCCAUUACAGAACUUUUCAGCAUUCCCAUUUGAGAACUACCUUCAAAUCAUUAAAAGAAUGAUCAGAAAGCCAAAAUACCCACUUCAACAAGUAAUUCGUAGGUUGUCAGAAAAAAAAUGUGCUGGGCAAUCCAAGCAGUUGAAAAGAGGUUGCAAAAAGGAGCACUUCUCUGGGCCUUUACCUGCCAAUAUCCUCCCAUGUUUCAGGCAGUUUAAGGAAUUGCACAUGGACACCUUUAUGAUUUCUGUUAACACAGGUGACAAUGCCAUUCUUGUUGACCAAAACAUUUUUCUUGUAAAAAAUAUCAUUGUUGUUGACGACGUUACAAGCUUGGUUUGCCAAAAGUUUUCUGUAAAAGUCCCUUUCUUUCAAUAUCCUGUAGAUUCUCUUAAGAUAAAUAUAGCAUUUGUUAAAGAUCCACAACAUUAUAUUGUUCAUUUACCAGUGCCUGAUAUUUCUGCCAAAGUUGUUCUUUUGCCUUACAAUGAUGGGUUUGUGGCAUUUCCAUUAAAUCAUACCUUAGAGAUAAUGUAAUAAUUGGUGCACAAUAUCCUAAUUUAUUCAGUUUUAAUUCCAUUUCAGUUCUACUCCGUAUGUACUGUAGAUAUUGAUGAUUUAUCACUAUGAUCUGGUUCAGUCUUAUUUAGCAAAAUCAGCUUGGUUGUACUUUUUGUUGUUAGGACAUUUACAGUAAUAUAUUUCUGGUUUUUGGUGGCUUUUUCAAGUUUAUUUCACUCCAAUACCAUGUUAUUUUUUUAGAAUAACAAUGUAUGCAGUGGUUUUGUUCAAGGAAACUGAGGAGGUGGAAGUUGUACCAUCAGUUUGGUUGAAUGUGGAUAAACUUUUGUGCCUGUGGCCUUCUUAUAAAAGUACUGUAAGAGUUCGAAAAGCAGUGGAGCUUCAGGAGACACCCACCGAGACAUGGGACAAACACGAAGUACGGGUGCUUCAUGAGACAGUGACAUAUGAGAAGGCGCGCAAGAAACUGAGAAGGGCAACCGAAACAUCCGAUCUGAACACCACAGAUGAUGAACAAACACGGAAGCGGAAACCCUCUACAAAGCUGUCAUUUCUAGAAGAUGAAGAAGAUUUUUCCAUAAGCAAGAAUGUGAGAUCAUCACAAAGGAUGCCACUCUUGCCAACUCCACCUUUGUUUCCAACAACAGUAGCAUCACCCAGCAGCAGCAGCAGCAGCAGCAGCAGCAAGAACACCAGCAACAGUGAAGAUGGAAAUAUCAGCAGUGAUGACAGGAACUACAACAGCAACACCAGCAGCAAUGACACUGGAACUGGGAACAGGGACAAGAGCAGCUAUGUGCCUCUAUCAGACAGGGAUAGGAUGAUCUUCACCAUUUUAGAAGAAAUCAAGGGCCAGGGGAGACAAAACACCCUGAUGCUUCAGGCACUUCUCAAGCGGCAGCCUCAUGUAGAGCAAGAGCAUGGCAGCCUGCGCCUGGACGAAUUCCGGUUUCCUCUUGACACCAAGGAGGACAUUGACAGAGUGGAGAGGAUGUUAAUGGACCAGGCUACAGAAAAGGCACUGGUAUGUGACCGUUGUACGAUUGUUAACAAAGUCCUUUUCUUUUCAGAUUAUAAUAACCAAUACAUUGUCAUUAAUAGUUUUUGAAAAAAAAAAUGCAAUCAGAUGCUAAAAGCUUCUGUCCUUAUUGAAUUAUAUCUUCAGCUUUUUCUCAGAUUUUUAUAUAAUUAUUCCUGAUAAUUACUUCUGUACAUAUUGUUGCGUUUUUCUAUGGUGUUCAUUUAUUAUAUCCAUUUUAAAGGUGUAAAAAAUCACUACAAGUUUCCUUGUGUUUCACAUGUAGUCGUUUGUUUGCUUUUUCAUAUUUUGCAGCUUCAUUUCUAAUGAUUUAGAAGUAUGCUAAUGUCUCAG
Molecule: RNA transcript, 2609 nt
Organism: Acipenser ruthenus (sterlet)
Lineage: Eukaryota; Metazoa; Chordata; Actinopteri; Acipenseriformes; Acipenseridae
Exons: 4
Source: RefSeq, a predicted model, not a curated record